This 88-nucleotide non-coding RNA is filed under the name Desulfuribacillus stibiiarsenatis. RNAcentral describes it as "SAM riboswitch aptamer (S box leader)". It matches the Rfam family "SAM riboswitch aptamer (S box leader)". From Rfam's summary of the family: The SAM riboswitch is found upstream of a number of genes which code for proteins involved in methionine or cysteine biosynthesis in Gram-positive bacteria. The SAM riboswitch acts at the level of transcription termination control. The record is from Rfam by way of RNAcentral. Lineage: Bacteria; Bacillati; Bacillota; Desulfuribacillia; Desulfuribacillales; Desulfuribacillaceae. RNAcentral also lists the same sequence under 1 other name.
AUCUUAUCGAGAGUAGGUGGAGGGACUGGCCCUAUGAAGCCCGGCAACCGGCAGAAUGCUGCACGGUGCCAAUUCCUGUAGAUGAGAA